RNAcentral lists this ribosomal RNA (497 nucleotides) under uncultured bacterium. RNAcentral's name for it is "partial 16S ribosomal RNA". It matches the Rfam family "Bacterial small subunit ribosomal RNA", at positions 28 to 507 of the family's 1533-position model. The record is from RNAcentral.
GAUGAACGCUGGCGGCGUGCCUAAUACAUGCAAGUCGAGCGAACAGAUGAGGAGCUUGCUCCACUGACGUUAGCGGCGGACGGGUGAGUAACAAGUGGAUAACCUACCUAUAAGACUGGGCGAACUUCGGGAAACCGGAGCUAAUACCGGAUAAUAUAUUUAACCGCAUGGUUCAAUAGUGAAAGACGGUUUUGCUGUCACUUAGAGAUGGAUCCGCGCCGCAUUAGCUAGUUGGUAAGGUAACGGCUUACCAAGGCAACGAUGCGUAGCCGACCUGAGAGGGGGAGCAGCCCCCCUGGAACUGAGACGCGGUACAGACUCCUACGGGAGGCAGCAGUAGGGUAUGUUCCGCAGAGGGCGAGAGCCUGGCGGAACAACGCCGCGUGAGUGAUGAAGGUCUGCGGAUCGUAAUACUCUGUUGCUAGUGAGGAACAAAUGUGUAAGUAACGAUGCACGUCUUGACGGUACCUAAUCAGAAAGCCCCGGCUAACUACGUG